Long non-coding RNA from Eufriesea mexicana, 981 nucleotides. RefSeq lists it as uncharacterized. The record is from RefSeq and is a predicted model, not a curated record. Lineage: Eukaryota; Metazoa; Arthropoda; Insecta; Hymenoptera; Apidae. The transcript has 5 exons.
GUGUCAGUCAUAUCAGUUUCUCAUUAAUUGUAUCAGAGAUAUAUCACGUAUUAUCUCGUUAUUUAUCCUCUGUUACCGUUAUCUUAACAUUGUUGUCGUACAGUUCAACGAUAUUCGUAUAUUCGGAUCAUAUUUAAGACGCAAGAUCUAAACAAUUUAAGUUUCGAAGAGAAACCUCUAAUGCAGCUACGAACUGGGUAUCUUAUUACACAACACCGAGCCAUUGAAUAGAAUUUCUCGCCUACUUGUUCAACGAAGAGUAAAAUGGAAUUUCGAGGUUAUUUACGCGUUAGCUAUGACACGAAUGGAGUGUCACGAAUCAAGGAAACGAUCGAAGAUAAAUAGGAUGGAACUAUUACUCAAACGCUCGGACAUUAUAUAGUCGACAGGCAGAUUAUUUCAUUAGUAUUCAACGAAUGAACUUUUAGAUGAAUGAAAUUUUGUUUACGACUACGCAUGAAGUAUUAAUGCUUUGCAUCCCAAUUCAUUUAAAAAAUCCAGCCCCACAGCAGUCUCCUAAAAAUAAAAGUCAACGACCAUAUUAUAUCGAUCAAGAGUAAGAAUCUACAUCCAGUACGAAAACUCGUGUGUGAACUCGAGCCAAGUGAAUCAGCGAUCGAGCUGCAAACAAGCCACGUGUACUAUCAGGAUCGCGCAGAUUGCAAUGAUUGCACGUCCCUAUCGCGCCGCGGAAUCGAACACGGUGGUGGGAGACGACCACUUCUGAGCGGCGAUCGAGAGCAACCGGGUCGUGGAUCGCUGGACGUCUUUAUUUCUCUCUUUCUUUUUUUAUCCGCACGCGUGAUCGCGUUGCACGUAUUGUUUCGACGCACGCACCACACGGCUGCUACUCACGCAACACGGUUAACCGUUAGAAUGGCUGAUAGGGUGGUGAGCAGGUCUCGUGCAAUGCCGAAUUCAGGUCACGAAAUAUUUCAUGAUAACGCCGUGAGAGGGCCUGUCGCACGAACUAGGCUGAUA